UAAGUAUUAAGUUAAUUGUAAACUGGAGACCUUCAAAGUCUUUUUUGGUUAGGAGCCAUACUUAG
This 65-nucleotide transfer RNA is filed under the name Olivierus martensii (Chinese scorpion). Its description in RNAcentral is "Mesobuthus martensii (Chinese scorpion) tRNA-Trp". Lineage: Eukaryota; Metazoa; Arthropoda; Arachnida; Scorpiones; Buthidae. The record is from RNAcentral.